Peromyscus maniculatus bairdii (prairie deer mouse) is the source of this 131-nucleotide small nucleolar RNA. Ensembl annotates it as predicted gene, 24252. The record is from Ensembl. NCBI's taxonomy places the organism in Eukaryota, Metazoa, Chordata, Mammalia, Rodentia, Cricetidae.
CUCCGUGCAUCUUCAGACCUGGCAGCUUGUGGUCGCCUCCCUUCCAAGCCCCAGAAGAGGAUAUUCUUGUUCACUGGCAAAGCCAUCACCAUUUAAUGGGUAUCACAUACUGACUUGCACAAGUAGCAUCC